This 497-nucleotide ribosomal RNA is filed under the name uncultured bacterium. Its description in RNAcentral is "partial 16S ribosomal RNA". It matches the Rfam family "Bacterial small subunit ribosomal RNA", at positions 28 to 507 of the family's 1533-position model. The record is from RNAcentral.
GAUGAACGCUGGCGGCGUGCCUAAUACAUGCAAGUCGAGCGAACGGACGAGAAGCUUGCUUCUCUGAUGUUAGCGGCGGACGGGUGAGUAACACGUGGAUAACCUACCUAUAAGACUGGGAUAACUUCGGGAAACCGGAGCUAAUACCGGAUAAUAUUUUGAACCGCAUGGUUCAAAAGUGAAAGACGGUCUUGCUGUCACUUAUAGAUGGAUCCGCGCUGCAUUAGCUAGUUGGUAAGGUAACGGCUUACCAAGGCAACGAUGCAUAGCCGACCUGAGAGGGUGAUCGGCCAAACUGGAACUGAGAAACGGUCCAGACUACUACGGGAGGCAGCAGUAGGGAAUAUUCCGCAAUGGGCGAAAGCCUGACGGAGCAAAGCCGCGUGAGUGAUGAAGGUCUUCGGAUCGUAAAACUCUGUUAUUAGGGAAGAACAUAUGUGUAAUUAACUGUGCACAUCUUGACGGUACCUAAUCAGAAAGCCACGGCUAACUACGUG